This 253-nucleotide ribosomal RNA is filed under the name uncultured bacterium. Its description in RNAcentral is "partial 16S ribosomal RNA". It matches the Rfam family "Bacterial small subunit ribosomal RNA", at positions 524 to 776 of the family's 1533-position model. The record is from RNAcentral.
UACGAAGGGGGCUAGCGUUGCUCGGAAUCACUGGGCGUAAAGGGUGCGUAGGCGGGUUUUAAAGUCAGGGGUGAAAUCCUGGAGCUCAACUCCAGAACUGCCUUUGAUACUGAAGAUCUUGAGUCCGGGAGAGGUGAGUGGAACUGCGAGUGUAGAGGUGAAAUUCGUAGAUAUUCGCAAGAACACCAGUGGCGAAGGCGGCUCACUGGCCCGGUACUGACGCUGAGGCACGAAAGCGUGGGGAGCAAACAGG